CAAUGACGAACUCGGAAACAUCUGUUGCUUUGUUCAGCAUCCUCCACCCUCAAAGUACUCAAGAAGACAUGAUUUAUUCGAUUCCUCAACCAGAGUACAUUACACUCGAAUAUGUCCAAGACCCAAUAAUUUUAGUGACACCCUCGGCGACGCUAUGGACUGUGUCCAUCUCAA
This 174-nucleotide non-coding RNA is filed under the name Protocruzia adhaerens. The record is from RNAcentral. Lineage: Eukaryota; Ciliophora; Spirotrichea.